This 260-nucleotide ribosomal RNA is filed under the name uncultured bacterium. RNAcentral's name for it is "partial 16S ribosomal RNA". It matches the Rfam family "Bacterial small subunit ribosomal RNA", at positions 793 to 1055 of the family's 1533-position model. The record is from RNAcentral.
GUCCACGCUGUAAACGUUGGGCGCUAGGUGUGGGGUCUUCCACGAUCUCCGUGCCGGAGCUAACGCAUUAAGCGCCCCGCCUGGGGAGUACGGCCGCAAGGCUAAAACUCAAAGGAAUUGACGGGGGCCCGCACAAGCGGCGGAGCAUGUUGCUUAAUUCGACGCAACGCGAAGAACCUUACCAAGGUUUGACAUCACCCGGAAAGCUUCAGAGAUGGGGCCCUCUUCGGAUCGGGUGACAGGUGGUGCAUGGCUGUCGU